Molecule: ribosomal RNA, 497 nt
Filed under: uncultured bacterium
Lineage: Bacteria
Description: partial 16S ribosomal RNA
Rfam family: Bacterial small subunit ribosomal RNA
Source: RNAcentral
GAUGAACGCUGGCGGCGUGCCUAAUACAUGCAAGUCGAGCGAACGGACGAGAAGCUUGCUUUUCUGAUGUUAGCGGCGGACGGGUGAGUAACACGUGGAUAACCUACCUAUAAGACUGGGAUAACUUCGGGAAACCGGAGCUAAUACCGGAUAAUAUUUUGAACCGCAUGGUUCAAAAGUGAAAGACGGUCUUGCUGUCACUUAUAGAUGGAUCCGCGCUGCAUUAGCUAGUUGGUAAGGUAACGGCUUACCAAGGCAACGAUGCAUAGCCGACGUGAGAGGGGGGUAGGCGACAUGAGAGCGGGAACGCGGUCCAGAGGACUGCGGGAGGGAGCAGUAGGGAAUGUUCGGCAGUAGGCGGAAGCAUGGCGGAGCGGCGGCGAGUGAGAGAUAGCAGCGUUCGGAUCGUAAAACUCUGUUAUUAGGGAAGAACAUAUGUGUAAGUAAAUGUAGACAGCUUGACGGUAACGAGUAAGAAAGCAACGGCUAACUACGUG